CUGGUACUGAGACACGGACCAGACUCCUACGGGAGGCAGCAGUGAGGAAUAUUGGUCAAUGGGAGAGAUCCUGAACCAGCCAAGCCGCGUGAGGGAAGACGGCCCUAUGGGUUGUAAACCUCUUUUGUCGGAGAACAAAACCCGGGACGAGUCCCGGACUGCGUGUAUCCGAAGAAAAAGCAUCGGCUAACUCCGUGCCAGCAGCCGCGGUAAUACGGAGGAUGCGAGCGUUAUCCGGAUUUAUUGGGUUUAAAGGGUGCGUAGGCGGUCUGUUAAGUCAGCGGUAAAAUUGCGGGGCUCAACCCCGUCGAGCCGUUGAAACUGGCAGACUUGAGUUGGCGAGAAGUACGCGGAAUGCGCGGUGUAGCGGUGAAAUGCAUAGAUAUCGCGCAGAACUCCGAUUGCGAAGGCAGCGUACCGGCGCCAGACUGACGCUGAGGCACGAAAGCGUGGGGAUCGAACAGGAUUAGAUACCCUGGUAGUCCACGCAGUAAACGAUGAAUGCUGGUUGUCCGGGUCGAAUGAGACCUGG
Molecule: ribosomal RNA, 532 nt
Filed under: uncultured bacterium
Lineage: Bacteria
Description: bacterial SSU rRNA
Rfam family: Bacterial small subunit ribosomal RNA
Source: RNAcentral